RNAcentral lists this ribosomal RNA (440 nucleotides) under uncultured bacterium. Its description in RNAcentral is "partial 16S ribosomal RNA". It matches the Rfam family "Bacterial small subunit ribosomal RNA", at positions 338 to 795 of the family's 1533-position model. The record is from RNAcentral.
CCUACGGGAGGCAGCAGUGGGGAAUAUUGCACAAUGGGGGAAACCCUGAUGCAGCGACGCCGCGUGAGCGAUGAAGUAUUUCGGUAUGUAAAGCUCUAUCAGCAGGGAAGAAAAUGACGGUACCUGACUACGAAGCCCCGGCUAACUACGUGCCAGCAGCCGCGGUAAUACGUAGGGGGCAAGCGUUAUCCGGAUUUACUGGGUGUAAAGGGAGCGUAGACGGUCCUGCAAGCCAGCUGUGAAAGCCCGGGGCUCAACCCCGGGACUGCAGUUGGAACUGUAAGGCUAGAGUGGCGGAGAGGCAGGCGGAAUGCCUAGUGUAGCGGUGAAAUGCGUAGAUAUUAGGAGGAACACCAGUGGCGAAGGCGGCGUGCUGGACGAUGACUGACGUUGAGGCUCGAAAGCGUGGGGAGCAAACAGGAUUAGAUACCCUUGUAGUC